This 467-nucleotide ribosomal RNA is filed under the name uncultured bacterium. RNAcentral describes it as "partial 16S ribosomal RNA". It matches the Rfam family "Bacterial small subunit ribosomal RNA", at positions 29 to 507 of the family's 1533-position model. The record is from RNAcentral.
ACGAACGCUGGCGGCGCGCUUCACACAUGCCAGUCGCACGGAAAGGCCCUGCUUUUGUGGGGUGCUCGAGUGGCGAACGGGUGAGUAACACGUGAGUAACCUGCCCUUGACUUUGGGAUAACUUCAGGAAACUGGGGCUAAUACCGGAUAGGAGCUCCUGCUGCAUGGUGGGGGUUGGAAAGUUUCGGCGGUUGGGGAUGGACUCGCGGCUUAUCAGCUUGUUGGUGGGGUAGUGGCUUACCAAGGCUUUGACGGGUAGCCGGCCUGAGAGGGUGACCGGCCACAUUGGGACUGAGAUACGGCCCAGACUCCUACGGGAGGCAGCAGUGGGGAAUAUUGCACAAUGGGCGGAAGCCUGAUGCAGCAACGCCGCGUGCGGGAUGACGGCCUUCGGGUUGUAAACCGCUUUCGCCUGUGACGAAGCGUGAGUGACGGUAAUGGGUAAAGAAGCACCGGCUAACUACGUG